AUAUCCAAUUGCUGGAAGGCUUGAGAGGGUCUGUAAGACAGAUGUUGAAAUCAAUGGGGUGUUCAUUCCCAAAGGGACUGUGGUGAUGAUACCAACCUUUGCUCUUCACAAAGACCCGCAUUACUGGCCAGAGCCUGAGGAAUUCCGCCCUGAAAGGCACUCAGCGCUAUGAGUUUUCCUCUUAGCACAGCUUUCAUCGUGUCCCAUAAGUUUGGGUUCAGCAAGAAGAAUCAGGAUAACAUCAAUCCUUAUAUGUACCUGCCCUUUGGGAAUGGACCCAGGAACUGUAUUGGCAUGAGGUUUGCUCUCAUGAACAUGAAAGUUGCUCUUGUCAGAGUCCUGCAGAACUUCUCCUUCCAACCUUGUAAGGAAACUCAGAUCCCUUUAAAAUUGAGCAAACAAGGACUUCUUCAACCAGAAAAGCCACUGCUUCUAAAAGUUGUGUCCAGAGAUGAGACUGUGAAUGGAGCUUGAUGUAGAAUGGCCUAUAGUGGUGUUGUAUCACAUGGACCAGAAACCAGUUCAUAUUGUGAAUGAAUCCAGAGAUGAAGAUUGCAGUAAUUUUGUUCACUCCUGGGGAUUUUGGGUGUUCUUUGAGCUUUCUCAGCCUCUGUGCAAGUUGUUUUCUGUGGAACAUAUGGAUCUAAUGACAUAAAUCCAAGAUAAAUAUAUUCAACUCGUGGUUCUUGUGGGAUGGCCUAUGUUACCUUCAUUGUUACCACCAAAUACUCUGAUUUCUGAUGAGAAAAUAAAUAAACAUCAAUUACUAGUUCU
RNAcentral lists this long non-coding RNA (774 nucleotides) under Rattus norvegicus (Norway rat). RNAcentral describes it as "long non-coding RNA NONRATT007815". Lineage: Eukaryota; Metazoa; Chordata; Mammalia; Rodentia; Muridae. The record is from RNAcentral.